ACUGGAUAAUCCUGCUUUACUGAAGUCAGUGUCGCAACAUUUUUGUCUUCCCUGUGAGUAACGUAAACAAACAAGGAACGUUGAAGCCUGUGGGCGCCAACGGGACUUCACUGUGCGCAUCAAGAAUGUGUGGUGCAUUCAGGUGCAUCUCAUAAACUCUGCAAAACCCAAAUGGCUGUAAAGUACCUGUUUGCAAUAUAGUGGCUCUUCUUUGUGGCAUAGCUGUCAGUAAUGACAAGAAAACGUUGAAAUCAAUGUUCUUAAAAUCUAAGGUCAAACUGAAUCGUGGAUUUGGAGAAUCAUGACACCCCUAUUUAGCAGUGAAUUAUUAUCCAGCUUUACAAAAUGUACAAUAGCACACUA
Molecule: long non-coding RNA, 363 nt
Organism: Etheostoma spectabile (orangethroat darter)
Lineage: Eukaryota; Metazoa; Chordata; Actinopteri; Perciformes; Percidae
Exons: 2
Source: RefSeq, a predicted model, not a curated record